Non-coding RNA from Triticum aestivum (bread wheat), 136 nucleotides. The record is from Rfam. NCBI's taxonomy places the organism in Eukaryota, Viridiplantae, Streptophyta, Magnoliopsida, Poales, Poaceae.
AUUCUACUCCCUCCGUUGCACAAUACAUGCCUUCUAUUUGUCAAAAUAUAUAUGUAUCUAGACAUGUUUUAGUAUAUAGGUACAUCCAUUUUUGGACAAACUGAAGUCAAGUAUUUUGGAAUGGAGGGAGUAAAUA